Crotalus tigris (Tiger rattlesnake) is the source of this 3379-nucleotide long non-coding RNA. RefSeq lists it as uncharacterized. The record is from RefSeq and is a predicted model, not a curated record. The transcript has 2 exons. NCBI's taxonomy places the organism in Eukaryota, Metazoa, Chordata, Lepidosauria, Squamata, Viperidae.
GAUUCACUUAACAACUGUGGCAAGAAAGGUCUUAAAAUAGGACAAAACUCACGUAGCAAAUGUCUCUCUUAGCAACAGAAAUUUGGGGCUCAAUUAUGGUUGUAAGUCAAGGGCUACCUAUAUUGUUACAUUCCCUGGAUGGAUGAAAAUAUGAACAUUAUUGGGUUUCUCUUGAAUUUCUAUCAAUGUUCCUUGUGUUUGUACGAAGGGGGUUUUAGGAAGAAAACUCUGCCUGCCAAGAGUGGUUUUUGACUAGACACCAAAACUGACAUUGUUCCAAUCAAGGUGAAAACAAGAUCUCAGAUAGACUAGUCAGUUCUCCGCUUUCCACACCAACAUCUGAAAAUGGACUGCCAGACAAAGGAAGUGUAGGUAUUAAUAAUUAAAACAGCACUCUAAGCAUCUACUGUGCUUUUUAGCUCUUACAGCAUAAUAUAGAAGCAACCGAUGUGGCAUUGUUAAGCUCAUCUCUAUUUUGCAGAAGAGCAACGAAUCAUCCAUUAAGUCAGAGUGAAAUUCCCAUCAAAUGUAAGUUUGCUAUAUAUAAACUGCAAUAUUUAUAUAUUUUUUCUAUCUUAAUAUUGGGAAGAUGCACCUUUUUGAGAUGAGAGAAACGUUUGCAUUUUUUAUGUUUGCCCCGGCCAUCUUGACCACAUCCAGAACUAGCUCUUAGCCAAGGGCAAAAUGCCUUGGAAAAACAGGUUGAAGUCCACUCUGUUCAAGGAAACAGUGCAGGCCAAUCACCAGGCACAAUCUGUCUCCUCUUUUGGUGGCCAGGAAAACAGGCAUGGUCAUCAACUCCGUUCACGUCCUGUCAAGUCGUAUCAGAGGCUGCAUGCAACAAAAUGUGAUUUCUUUAGCAAUUUGAUAGAAGGACCAAUCACCUCUCUUUGGAAGCAUUUGAGCAGAGCCUGAAAAGCCAUAAGGCCAUGGAUACUUUAAUUUAGAUUCUUGCAUUGAACAAGGAGUUGGGCUCAUUAACCUAAUAGAACCUUCCAAAUAAGAUUUUAUGAUUCUAAAGGGGAGAAAGAGCUGUUUGAAGAAGUUAAAAAAAAGAUGGAGAGAAGCAAACCUAAAAGGCAACCAGAGUAAUUAGGCUGGUCAAAGAAGUUCUGGCUUGUGCUGCAUGUUCUUGAUAGUCACAGUGAACAUAGAAAGACAUGGAUCCAGACGUUGGCUCAGUGCUUGAAGCAUGCAAUGUUUGAAAACCACAGGUCAUGACCAAAGGCAGGCAAGGUGGCCUUCUAUGCCCCAUGACCACAAAGUGGUUUCUGUGUUUGAAAACUGCCAAAGAAGGGAAUGAGUCAUAGCCCAUCUGUCACUAGGUUAAAAACAUAGAAUCAUAAAUGGAAGGGACCUUUAGAGGUCUUGUAGUCCAACCCUCUGGCCAAGACAGGAGACCUUAUACCAUCCUGAACAAAGUCCAAUCUUUUUUUUUUUUUUUUUGAAGAUCUCCAGCAAUAGAACACCCACUCCAUAUCCAUUUUAAUAGUGUGAAAACAGUUCCCAUCAAUUUGGCUGUUCAAAUAGAGAUUAGCAAGAUUGGUGCUAGUAAUCCCAAAAUAGCUUGUUUUCAGAGGUGACUAGAGUUGCCAUACAAUAUAGCUGGAGAGCAUCAGAAUGCUCAGCCCAAUCUUUCUGCCAGUCCAAUACUGUCUCCCUGAGUCUGUGAUAGAUCAAAAAGAAAUAGAGGAGAUGGUAAGGUAAGGCCUGUUAAUAAAGUUUAACUCCAGAUAGCAUACUUUCUUUUCUACUAGAAGCAAUUGUGAAGAACAAAUUUGCAACUGUGGUCUUUUCUGAAGUUAUUGCGGGGUGGGUGGGUUAAUGUCCAGUUUAGUCUACAGUCUUGGGAUGUUUGGGGGCGGUCUCCCACUUAUGGGAUAAGCAGGUUCAAUCCUACUUGGAUUUUUGAGACCAGUCAAUGCUAGUUUACUGCCAUCUAGCUGCACUAUGUCCCUUACUGUAGUUUAAAAAAAGGGAACCACAAUUGUUUUAUUUAUUUCUUCAUGCUGAAUAGGUAAUUUUUCAAUCAGAAUUUUCUAAGUAAGGAUUCAGCUGCAAGUUUGCAUAAAGAUAAGUUCUUCCAUCUGCUACAAGGAUGUUUACAUGGGAUAGUUAAAAAGGGGGGGAAGAUUAUGUCCACAACAGACUGACUGAAACUCUGCCCAUUUUUAAUAUGCAUCUCACAUUUGAUGUUCAUAAAAAGCAAGCAGAGCUUUGACUGCACCAUUGUGGAUGCCAUCAUGACUUCUUUGACUAUAGCUUGUAGAGACCUGGAUCUGCUAUACAGUCAAAUGCUCAGUGGAAAUUACCAAUUACAGUAACUGCUUCUGAACACUUAAAUAUUGUGGUUUUUUACCCAUCUUUCAGGUUAUACUGCCCUCUGAAGCCAGUUGAUGAGACAAGAGCCAGUGCCUAAUUAAACAUGGUUUUAAAAACCCUUAAACAAGCGACAAUUAAAGCCUUUGUUUGUUUUUCUUAUGUGUGUAGCACAAUUCCUGCCAGAUGCAGAACGGAAUUAAUUUGGUGUUCUGAGUUCUUUUACAAAGACAGCAGUGAUCAUGCCAUAUCUUUGGAUUCUACUUCCAGAAUUUAAUGGCACAAUUUCCAAAAUAUCAAGGGCAGAAUUUCCUGUCACCUCAAGCCCAUGAAAAGUUUGCUACCUUUCUUGCUAAAAAGCAGAGGUGCCCACAAGGUACAGUCAACACUUCAAGCUCUACCCAUUCUUAUGCAAAUGAGGCUCACCUAAAAAACAUACUGAGCUGCAAUUGCACUCUUCCGUUCAUUUCCUUGACUGUUUUGAGAACCUCCUGUGUUCACUCCUGUAAACUACUCUCAGACAGCUUGAUCUUUUCCUUUUAACGAACCUUAAAACGCACACGGUUGGUCUAUGCUGGCUUGUGACACUGUGUCCUACAAAGCAAUGUAUUCUUUUUUUAUUCCUUUAUUUGCUCAAUUUAUAUACCAAGCUCAGGAGCUGAAGAAGCAUUCAUAACUCCCCUUCCUAUUAUUUUUGUGCUCAACUCUGAGAUAGGUUGGAUUGAUGGAGAAUGACUGGCCCAAAGUCACCCAACUGAGUUUCCAGACAGAGGAAAGGCCCAGGAUUCUCCAAUGCUAGUUCAAUGGCUUAAUAAUUAUAGCAAAAUAGCUCUUAUAAUGCUGAAGGAAUGUAACAACUGAUUAAAUGAAUUGAACUAUGCUGAAAUGAAAUAUUCUUGACCUUCCCAUCAAAAUAGUCAAGGUAGAGUUGUAUGCAGAAAGGUGAUAUGCAGAGAUAGGAUUUUAGAACAAUGUGUCUUUUCUUGUAUGUAUAUGCUAAGUUUUAAAUGACUGCAUUUUGUAUAAAUAAAGUAUCCACUUUCCCCCACCCUUAAUAAAA